GAUGAACGCUGGCGGCGUGCCUAAUACAUGCAAGUCGAGCGAACAGACCAGGAGCUGGCGCCUAUGACUUUAGAGGCGGACGGGAGAGUAACACGUGGAUAACCUACCUAUCAGACUGGGAUGACUUUGGGAAACCAGAGCUAAUACCGGAUAACUUGUUGAACCGCAUGGUUCAACAGUGAAAGACGGUCUUGCGGACACUUAUAGAUGGCUCCGAGCUGAAUCCGCUAGUUGUUAAGGUGACGGCUUACCAAGGCAAGGAUGAGUAACCGCCACAAGAGAGAAGUCCGCCACACUGUGAGAGAGACACGUCCGAGACACCUACAGGGGGCCACGGUAGAGAAUCUUCCGGGAUGGGCGAGUGCCUGACGGAGCAACACCGCGUAAAUGAUGAACCUCUUCGGAUCGGUAAACUCUGUUAUUAUGGAAGAUCAAAUGUUCAUGUAACUAUGCAGAUCGUGACGGUACCUGAUCAAAAAGCUCCGGCUAACUCCGUG
Molecule: ribosomal RNA, 497 nt
Filed under: uncultured bacterium
Lineage: Bacteria
Description: partial 16S ribosomal RNA
Rfam family: Bacterial small subunit ribosomal RNA
Source: RNAcentral